ACAUGCAGUCGAACGAUGAUGCCCAGCUUGCUGGGUGGAUUAGUGGCGAACGGGUGAGUAACACGUGAGUAACCUGCCCCUGACUCUGGGAUAAGCGUUGGAAACGACGUCUAAUACUGGAUAUGAUCACUGGCCGCAUGGUCUGGUGGUGGAAAGAUUUUUUGGUUGGGGAUGGACUCGCGGCCUAUCAGCUUGUUGGUGAGGUAAUGGCUCACCAAGGCGACGACGGGUAGCCGGCCUGAGAGGGUGACCGGCCACACUGGGACUGAGACACGGCCCAGACUCCUACGGGAGGCAGCAGUGGGGAAUAUUGCACAAUGGGCGAAAGCCUGAUGCAGCAACGCCGCGUGAGGGAUGACGGCCUUCGGGUUGUAAACCUCUUUUAGUAGGGAAGAAGCGAAAGUGACGGUACCUGCAGAAAAAGCACCGGCUAACUACGUGCCAGCAGCCGCGGUAAUACGUAGGGUGCAAGCGUUGUCCGGAAUUAUUGGGCGUAAAGAGCUCGUAGGCGGUUUGUCGCGUCUGCUGUGAAAUCCCGAGGCUCAACCUCGGGCUUGCAGUGGGUACGGGCAGACUAGAGUGCGGUAGGGGAGAUUGGAAUUCCUGGUGUAGCGGUGGAAUGCGCAGAUAUCAGGAGGAACACCGAUGGCGAAGGCAGAUCUCUGGGCCGUAACUGACGCUGAGGAGCGAAAGCAUGGGGAGCGAACAGGAUUAGAUACCCUGGUAGUCCAUGCCGUAAACGUUGGGCGCUAGAUGUAGGGACCUUUCCACGGUUUCUGUGUCGUAGCUAACGCAUUAAGCGCCCCGCCUGGGGAGUACGGCCGCAAGGCUAAAACUCAAAGGAAUUGACGGGGGCCCGCACAAGCGGCGGAGCAUGCGGAUUAAUUCGAUGCAACGCGAAGAACCUUACCAAGGCUUGACAUACACCGGAAACGGCCAGAGAUGGUCGCCCCCUUGUGGUCGGUGUACAGGUGGUGCAUGGUUGUCGUCAGCUCGUGUCGUGAGAUGUUGGGUUAAGUCCCGCAACGAGCGCAACCCUCGUUCUAUGUUGCCAGCGGGUUAUGCCGGGGACUCAUAGGAGACUGCCGGGGUCAACUCGGAGGAAGGUGGGGAUGACGUCAAAUCAUCAUGCCCCUUAUGUCUUGGGCUUCACGCAUGCUACAAUGGCCGGUACAAAGGGCUGCGAUACCGUAAGGUGGAGCGAAUCCCAAAAAGCCGGUCUCAGUUCGGAUUGAGGUCUGCAACUCGACCUCAUGAAGUCGGAGUCGCUAGUAAUCGCAGAUCAGCAACGCUGCGGUGAAUACGUUCCCGGGCCUUGUACACACCGCCCGUCAAGUCAUGAAAGUCGGUAACACCCGAAGCCGGUGGCCUAACCCUUGUGGAAGGAGCCGUC
Molecule: ribosomal RNA, 1393 nt
Filed under: Curtobacterium flaccumfaciens pv. flaccumfaciens
Lineage: Bacteria; Bacillati; Actinomycetota; Actinomycetes; Micrococcales; Microbacteriaceae
Description: bacterial SSU rRNA
Rfam family: Bacterial small subunit ribosomal RNA
Source: RNAcentral